GAUACCAACUUCACUUGCUCCUGCUGGGCCUCGGUCUUCUGCUGCUGGUCAUCAUCUGUGUGUUUGGAUGCCAAAUUACCAAGCUUCAGAGGGACCUGUUGACCCUGAGAACAACUUCCCUCAAUUUGUCAUCCAGCACCGCAGCUGAGAUCCAGGCACUGAACAGCCAGGAUGGCAGGUUCCAAGGAGCGGUGACAUCUCUGCAGAGCGAGCUGAAGGAACACAAGCAGCUGCUGCAAGCAGGCCAAGGCUUGAAGGACAAGUUGCUGACUCUGGAGAGCAACCUGGAGAAAGAGAAGCAGGAUCUCAAAGCAGGUCA
Echinops telfairi (small Madagascar hedgehog) is the source of this 319-nucleotide long non-coding RNA. RefSeq lists it as uncharacterized. The transcript is spliced from 4 exons. Lineage: Eukaryota; Metazoa; Chordata; Mammalia; Afrosoricida; Tenrecidae. The record is from RefSeq and is a predicted model, not a curated record.